Molecule: transfer RNA, 72 nt
Filed under: Candidatus Uhrbacteria bacterium RIFCSPHIGHO2_01_FULL_46_23
Lineage: Bacteria; Candidatus Uhriibacteriota
Also listed under: 5 other names
Description: tRNA-Arg
Rfam family: tRNA
About the family: Transfer RNA (tRNA) molecules are approximately 80 nucleotides in length. Their secondary structure includes four short double-helical elements and three loops (D, anti-codon, and T loops). Further hydrogen bonds mediate the characteristic L-shaped molecular structure. tRNAs have two regions of fundamental functional importance: the anti-codon, which is responsible for specific mRNA codon recognition, and the 3' end, to which the tRNAs corresponding amino acid is attached (by aminoacyl-tRNA synthetases). tRNAs cope with the degeneracy of the genetic code in two manners: having more than one tRNA (with a specific anti-codon) for a particular amino acid; and 'wobble' base-pairing, i.e. permitting non-standard base-pairing at the 3rd anti-codon position.
Source: RNAcentral
GCCCCCGUAGUUCAAGGGAUAGAACAGCGGACUCCUAAGCCGCGGAUGACCGUUCAACUCGGUCCGGGGGCA